UGAAAAGAUUCUUUUAGUGGCUAAGG
This 26-nucleotide non-coding RNA is filed under the name Rattus norvegicus (Norway rat). Lineage: Eukaryota; Metazoa; Chordata; Mammalia; Rodentia; Muridae. The record is from RNAcentral.